AACCUUGAUAGUAAUUUUUGCAGACUGUUUCGCCACUUUGAGACUUGUGUCUUAUUUUUGCAGGGUCCUGACCUGCAUGAGGAAAGCUUGCAAAACAUUAUCCUGCUAUGACUGACCUCUUGACCAUCUGGGUUGCUGCAGCCUCUCAAGUUAUCCAGUGUAGCCUGAUGCUACUAAGGACCAUCCUGGCUGUCACCUCCUGACCCCCUCAGAGGAGAUGCUCCAAUCCUUGAAGGGAAUCCUCAAGAGACGAUGAGUCAUUUAUUUUUUUUUUCUUCUGAGUUUUAAACUCUCUGUAUCCACUAUGAGCUGCAUCAUCACCAAUAUCGUUUUUAAGCAUUGAGCUUAAACGUGAAAAAACUUUCUAGUUAAUAAAGUCAAAAAUAAGGAUAGAUUUGCAUUAAUACAGAAAUUAAUAAAUGUUCAUCAAUCUUUUGGCCCAAAAUGUCUAUUUUUAUUGGAGGCAACUCUAUUCAUUUUUCCUGAAUUAUUUAGUCUUCCCCAUCUGCCUGCCUCAAUCCAACCCCUCUAGCUGUGUUACAGAGCCCAAACUGUUCAUAGAGGCAAGUCUGACCAUCUCUUGGUGGUGCUGCACAAAAUCUGCCUUGUUCCCCUCUAUUAAAUCACAUACUAUGACUGGAUGGUUAGAGUCCAUUUCAGCAAAUAGAGGCCAUUGAGGCACCAUGGUUUGACUGCUUCACAAACCACAUGGUACUGACCCUUCGUGAUCUUUCCAGCUGGUAGUGAGUUUAUGGCACAGGUGUCAAACUGCAGGUCUUGAGGGCCAGUGUCCUACAUGGUUUCCAACUAGCUUGUCAUUGCAGCUUUUCAUUAGCAAAAAUGCAUCUGAUCAAGGUAAUCAGCAGCAAGAAGGGCCAGGCUUCUAAAAAAAAUAAAAUAAAAUAAAAAAAA
This is a long non-coding RNA of Oryzias melastigma (Indian medaka), 912 nucleotides long. RefSeq lists it as uncharacterized. The record is from RefSeq and is a predicted model, not a curated record. The transcript is spliced from 2 exons. NCBI's taxonomy places the organism in Eukaryota, Metazoa, Chordata, Actinopteri, Beloniformes, Adrianichthyidae.